UUUGGUGGCGAUAGCGAAGAGGUCACACACGUUCCCAUGCCGAACACGGAAGUUAAGCUCUUCAGCGCCGAUGGUAGUCGGGGGUUUCCCCCUGUGAGAGUAGGACGCCGCCAAGC
This 116-nucleotide ribosomal RNA is filed under the name Bacillus velezensis. The record is from RNAcentral. Lineage: Bacteria; Bacillati; Bacillota; Bacilli; Caryophanales; Bacillaceae.